Molecule: long non-coding RNA, 927 nt
Filed under: Glycine max (soybean)
Lineage: Eukaryota; Viridiplantae; Streptophyta; Magnoliopsida; Fabales; Fabaceae
Description: long non-coding RNA (GMAX_LNC004654)
Source: RNAcentral
GAUACGUCUUUCAUUUAUAUAUGGCUCUAUUGGGUCUGGUGUUGCACCAUUUAUAUGAAUAUUUUGUAAAUCACAUUCUGAUUCUUGCACCAUUUAUUGAGAAUCUUAUUCAGUCACUGGGAUUUCUUCACGAAGACAACCAAGCCUCAAGAUCGUCCACCCUGAUAGUGCUCUUCUACAAGUAGUUGAAAAUUUGCAUUAAAAAUUUAUAAUAUAAUUCUAGACUAUUUACUAGAACCUGGUUCUUUCUAGAAGAAAAAAUAUCAGCUCGUUCUAGAAAACCUAGUUCUACAGAAAAAUUCUCAAAUAAAUGUGGUGAAUACUGUCUCCCAAAAUAUAAUUAUGUGCUCUGAGAUCAUUAUAAUAUUGAUUACCUAAGUAAUGAUAAAUAAGCAAACUGACUUGACAAAAUGGCACUCAAGUACUAUAGAUCUUCCCACGUUUUGACCUUUUCAAACUACCUGCAUAAAAUUGAUGAGGUGGGGUUACCACUAAUUUUAAUUAUUGUUAUUUUCCUUUCAAUAUUAUUCUUGGCCACAAAGUGGUAUUUGUUUCCUUGUGCGGGCAUGAGUGAAAUGAAUUCCCAAACAACGAUGUGCAAAAGGCGUUUAAAAGAGAGAGUGCUAGAACGGCAAAAGAAUUUCAAAACUUGGCAAAGCCACCACCUUGACCAUCCAGAUACAAUGGACACAAAAACUUUUCAAUAUUGGUCAUUGGUUUCAAUAGCAGAAACUUCUAAUCGUCACGUGGCAACAAUGCUUGCGUGGCCUAAUCAGAUUGUGCCUUUUCAACCAUAUAUAUAUACUCCAACCUUGUCAUACCUUACCAUGCAUGCAAAAAACACAAAAAUUAGUACCUUACCAAAAGUGCAACCAUGGAUGAAGAAGGGUCGAGGGGGAGGGCUAAGGAGGAUGCCGGAGAUGUCCG